Molecule: long non-coding RNA, 922 nt
Filed under: Fukomys damarensis (Damara mole-rat)
Lineage: Eukaryota; Metazoa; Chordata; Mammalia; Rodentia; Bathyergidae
Description: lncRNA (ENSFDAG00000029616.1)
Source: RNAcentral
UAUUUCUUCCCACCAAAGUUCAUGGCUUCUUUUAGGAGGAAGUUCACUUAUUACUUACAUGUCACUGGGGGAUGCAAAGACUUAUCUGAGUUGUCAAAAUCUGGGACAUCCACCAAAUGUCUUCCCAGCUCCCGAGUUCUCCCUGGGGCCAGCUGAUACUUUUGUUGCUACUUCACUGAAGUUAAGUUUCUCCUUCUGACCAGUAUUGUAACAUUCAUUUCUUCCUAGUUAUACUUUCUGAGCAGUUUUCACCUGAAUGUUUCCUGAUGAGUAUGACAUAAUAGAGUUAGUGCCAGGAAUGAUCAUAGACGUAGAUUCCAAAGAGGGAUUCUAGAGCUCUAUCACCUGCUGACUGGCUAGCCAUGAAGACCUGAUCCCGGGUGGAUACAGAGCUGACUGACCUUGUCAUGCUUCAUGAUGAUAUAACCAAGGCCACAUGUUGAGGAGAGAAUUCUCAUACCCUGAAUGGAUUACUGAACACACAGGCUGAGUAUCUUCUGAUGGUCACAGCCAUCCAAUGUCUCGCUUCGCUGUUGUGACUGGAGCGGAAUCACAUGGGGGCCAGGAUCUCUUGGAAACUGCCAACCUGGAGAAAUGUUUCUGACUUCCCUUCUGGCCUGGACAAAUCACAAAGGCAAUUGAAGGCAAGAAGUAUUUCGCUGUAUUUUUCCUUUUCUUUCUAUCUCUGUGAUAGGCAUCUCAUCCACAGACCCAGGCUAAUACGUGUGGAAGGAGAGAGAAAUCAUCUCUGCAUGCGCUCCUGUGACAUUUUGAUAAGAGCACAGGGAAGGGAAGGUGGCAAUUCCUUAAGCCGCCUUCUAAAGACACAGCUUCAUCCACUCCUUGGAAAGCUUACUGGGAUCCUCUCAGGGAGCAGGAGGAGUUGAAAGGAUUGUAGGAAUAAUCCAACCUACAGAAACAC